This 405-nucleotide ribosomal RNA is filed under the name uncultured bacterium. RNAcentral describes it as "bacterial SSU rRNA". It matches the Rfam family "Bacterial small subunit ribosomal RNA", at positions 355 to 776 of the family's 1533-position model. The record is from RNAcentral.
UAAGGAAUAUUGCACAAUGGGCGCAAGCCUGAUGCAGCAACGCCGCGUGCCCGAGGACGGCCUUCGGGUUGUAAAGGGCUUUUCUGGCUGACGAGGAAGGACGGUAGGCCAGGAAUAAGCGUCGGCUAACUACGUGCCAGCAGCCGCGGUAAAACGUAGGACGCGAGCGUUAUCCGGAUUUACUGGGCGUAAAGCGCGGGCAGGCGGUGGUCCAAGUCGGACGUGAAAGCUCCCGGCUCAACUGGGAGAGGUCGUUCGAAACUGGGCCGCUAGAGGGCAGUAGAGGGGCGUGGAAUUCCGGGUGGAGUGGUGAAAUGCGUAGAGAUCCGGAGGAACACCAGAGGCGAAGGCGGCGCCCUGGGCUGCACCUGACGCUGAGCCGCGAAAGCUAGGGGAGCGAACGGG